AAUCUUGUAUUCAACUAUGAUAUUAAAUUGCAAAUUUAAAGGUUAAAUAAUUUAUAAGAUUU
Molecule: transfer RNA, 62 nt
Filed under: Paduniella fasciaria
Lineage: Eukaryota; Metazoa; Arthropoda; Insecta; Trichoptera; Psychomyiidae
Description: tRNA-Cys
Source: RNAcentral